CAACCGAGCUGAUCGUAGUUGCCUGAAAAUUUCUCCAUACGAUAGUCAAGUAGUCAACCAUCUUCUCCUCCCUUCCUCUCUGUCCUGCACCGAUUCCACCAUGAACGACAAACCAGACAAAAACCCAGAAGAAGAAGAAGCCCUCCGCCUCAAAACCCUAGCCGAGCAAAAAUACUCCUCCUCCAAUUUCAAAUCCGCCCUCAAAUACGCCAAGCGCGCCCACCGCCUCUCCCCCUCCCUCGAUGGCCUCUCCGAGCUCCUCACCGCCUUCCAAAUCCUCCGCGUCGCAGCCAGUCCCUCCUCCUCCACCACCACAACAACACUCGACUGGUACAAGAUCCUCCAGAUCGAGCCCUUCUCCCACACCAACGCCGUCAAGAAACAGUACAAGAAGCUCGCCCUUACCCUUCAUCCCGACAAGAACCCCUUCCCCGCCUCCGAGGAGGCAUUUAAGCUCGUCGCCGAGGCGUUUAGGGUUUUGUCGGAUAAGAUUCGGCGCAAGGAGUACGAUAUGAGGCUGCGAAUCGCGAUGCAGUCAGAAGCCACGGAGGGAGGUGGAGGAGGAGCAGGAGAGGUGGAAACUGCUGCGGCGGACGCGUUUUGGACCGCGUGUUCGACGUGUCGGCUGUUGCAUAAGUUUGAGAGGAAGUACUUGGGGCAUGAUUUGGUGUGUCCCAGUUGUAAGAAAAGCUUUAAGGCCGUGGAGGUUUCGGAUAUGGUUGAAGAAGAGGAUGAUGAUAGGGUUGGAAGUAGGUCUAGUGAUGGGGUUAGGGUUGGAAGUAGGUCUAGUGAUAGGGUUAGGGCGAGUGUAGAGAGGGUUGCAAGUGGGAAAUCGAAGCGGAAAAUGAGUAGCGUUGAGGAGGUAUUGGCGAGGUCAAGGCCAGAUGGGAUUGUGAGAAGUGUUGAGUUGAAUCGCAAUUUGGGUAGUGGUGGUGGGGUUGAAAGAUCGCAAAAUGUGGAUAAGAAAGAGGGAUGGGAAGCUGGGGUUGAGGUAAUGGAGAAAUCGAAGUCCGAGACGGCGGGAGAUGAAGAAGAGACCAUGACACUUGCGGAAAUGCAAGCUUUAGCGAGGCGGAAGGUGAAUGGGGAGAAGAAGAAAACGAGGUCAAAGGAAGAUGAGAGAGAAACAGAAAUAGAGAGCGAGAAGGUGAGAGAGAAGAGGGUGAGGCGUAGUACAUCUAAGGGCGGGCAUUUGGAAAAUGAGAGGCGGAGAAGUUUGAAGAGUGGAAAUGUAGAGAUGGAAAAACGUAGGAGUGCGUCGAAAAGUGGGGAUUUGGAGAUAAUGGCGGUGGAGGAUUCCGAUUUCUAUAAUUUUGAUAAAGACAGAAUGGAGAGGAGUUUUAAGAAAGGGCAAGUAUGGGCAAUUUAUGCUGACGAUGAUGGAAUGCCUAGGCAUUAUGGCUUGAUUGAUGAAGUUGUUUCAGCGAACCCUUUUGAGGUGUGGAUGAGUUGGUUAGAUCUUCAGACUAACGGAGAUGAGGGAUUGAUUUGUUGGGAGAAAAUGGGAAUUCAUAUUUCUUGUGGGAGGUUUAAAGUUGCGAGGAAGACUUUAGUUGAUUCUGUCAACAUUUUUUCUCACAUUGCGGAUGCAGAAAGAGCGGCGAGAGAAGUGUAUAGGAUUUAUCCAAAGAAGGGUUCGGUGUGGGCACUUUAUAAGGAUAAUGAUUUAGAAAAUGAAGGGAGGAGGAACCCUUCUUUGCAUAGAGAGAGAUGCUAUGACAUAGUUAUGUUUUUAACUAGUUACAGUGAGAUACAUGGGUUGAGCAUGGCUUACCUUGAGAAGGUUGAGGGGUUCAAGACAGUAUUUAAGAGGAAAGAGAUCGGUUGUCAUGCUAUCAGAUGGCUUGAGAAAGACGACGUCAGGUUGUUUUCGCAUCAGAUUCCGGCUAGGAAGCUUUCCGAGGAAGUGGCUGCGAAUCUUCCAAAAGACUGUUGGGAACUUGAUCCGGCCUCACUUCCUACUGACUUGCUUACCUUCACUUGGCACAAAUAGUUUAUGCCUUGUUGGUGAUAAACUGGCCCAUGAGUUAUGGUCUGAACGCUACUUGGCUGUGAAGAUAGAAGCCAUUAUAUAUUCUUGUGAUGAUGUAUGCCUAAAAAGUGAUAACGGAACUCAAGAUAGGACUUGUCGACAGUUUGAAGGCGAAGGCUCAUCUGAAUAUAGGAGGAAGAAAUUGUCUGAGGCUGUCCUCAGUUUGUGAAAUUCAUGUCAGGCAUGUUUUGGCUUCAUCUUUGUUUCAUAUCCCAUUUUUGAAUAUGGCAAACAAGAUCAUCUCGAUGUUUUACAUAUCUAAGGUGGAUUCCGUGCCAAUAUAACCGUAAAAGGGGUAGAUUUCGAGUGCUCGGGAGGAAGUGAAUUGCACUCGAUUCCUCGUUUAGCAAGAGAGUCGGCUGCAUCACAAUUACUUGCAAAAUUACGCAGCAUAUAUGGCCGUCCAAAGCCAUUAGGGUUUCUGCAGAAGCUGGCAAGCUGCAUGGGAUGGGAGGUAGAAAAGCUGCAAAAGCACCAGCACCUUGACAUCAUGUUCUUAGCCAGCUCCCAUGUAAAUUGAGAAGGGAAUGUAAAACAAACUUUGAUAAAACAAUAGCUUGAAGUAUAUGUUUUAUGGACUGCUGUUCGUUACCUA
This is an RNA transcript of Rhododendron vialii, 2627 nucleotides long. RefSeq lists it as uncharacterized. The record is from RefSeq and is a predicted model, not a curated record. Lineage: Eukaryota; Viridiplantae; Streptophyta; Magnoliopsida; Ericales; Ericaceae. The transcript has 3 exons.